CGCUACACGGAAGCCGCUGCACAGUGUGUGAGAGCAGCGGUCAGCGUGGCGUUCUGAUCGGAGGGCAGGAGCGCAGGUGAGGUCUCUCAGCGUACAAGCUUAUGGCUGCAGAUGAAAGUGGAUGGUGCUGACAAGGGAUUGUACUGUGGUUUGCAGCAGAUUGUUGUAAAAUAAAUCUAGACAUGUACCUGAGAAACUGAUUGUGACUUCUGAACAGUACUAAAUAUUUCGACACACCGCACACAUCCAGUCUGAGGUGUUCUAAUACUAUUCAUGAGCCAGACUGACAUACUGUAAGGU
Long non-coding RNA from Pseudophryne corroboree (corroboree frog), 300 nucleotides. RefSeq lists it as uncharacterized. The record is from RefSeq and is a predicted model, not a curated record. The transcript is spliced from 4 exons. NCBI's taxonomy places the organism in Eukaryota, Metazoa, Chordata, Amphibia, Anura, Myobatrachidae.